UGGGGAAUAUUGGACAAUGGGCGAAAGCCUGAUCCAGCCAUGCCGCGUGUGUGAAGAAGGUCUUCGGAUUGUAAAGCACUUUAAGAUGGGAGGAAGGGCAGUAAGCGAAUACCUUGCUGUUUUGACGUUACCGACAGAAUAAGCACCGGCUAACUCUGUGCCAGCAGCCGCGGUAAUACAGAGGGUGCGAGCGUUAAUCGGAAUUACUGGGCGUAAAGCGCGCGUAGGUGGUUCGUUAAGUUGAAUGUGAAAGCCCCGGGCUCAACCUGGGAACUGCAUCGAAAACUGGCGAGCUAGAGUAGGGCAGAGGGUGGUGGAAUUUCCUGUGUAGCGGUGAAAUGCGUAGAUAUAGGAAGGAACACCAGUGGCGAAGGCGACCACCUGGGCUCAUACUGACACUGAGGUGCGAAAGCGUGGGGAGCAAACAGG
This 429-nucleotide ribosomal RNA is filed under the name Pseudomonadota bacterium. RNAcentral describes it as "Proteobacteria bacterium partial 16S ribosomal RNA". It matches the Rfam family "Bacterial small subunit ribosomal RNA", at positions 355 to 776 of the family's 1533-position model. The record is from RNAcentral. Lineage: Bacteria; Pseudomonadati; Pseudomonadota.